ACUCCUACGGGAGGCAGCAGUGGGGAAUAUUGCACAAUGGGCGCAAGCCUGAUGCAGCCAUGCCGCGUGUAGUGAAGAAGGGCCUUCGGGUUGAUAAAGUACUUUCAGUCAGUGAGGAAGGUAGUGUAGUUAAUAGCUGCAUUAUUUGACGUUAGCUGCAGAAGAAGCACCGGCUAACUCCGUGCCAGCAGCCGCGGUAAUACGGAGGGUGCGAGCGUUAAUCGGAAUUACUGGGCGUAAAGCGCAUGCAGGUGGUUUGUUAAGUCAGAUGUGAAAGCCCGGGGCUCAACCUCGGAAUAUGACAUU
RNAcentral lists this ribosomal RNA (306 nucleotides) under uncultured bacterium. RNAcentral describes it as "bacterial SSU rRNA". It matches the Rfam family "Bacterial small subunit ribosomal RNA", at positions 335 to 627 of the family's 1533-position model. The record is from RNAcentral.